Molecule: RNA transcript, 1969 nt
Organism: Vigna angularis (adzuki bean)
Lineage: Eukaryota; Viridiplantae; Streptophyta; Magnoliopsida; Fabales; Fabaceae
Gene name: proteinaceous RNase P 2-like
Exons: 7
Source: RefSeq, a predicted model, not a curated record
CCGCCAUCUAGGGUUUUAAACUAAACCCUGCAACUGUUAAUGCUUGGACCAAUUUCUCAGUCUUGCGCUUCGAUGGAGAAUCCAAAGAAGAAGAAGAAAACCAGUCAAAAUCCUGAGACAAAGUUCCAAUUUGAGCUCAACUCAUGUUCCAAGGCUAAGGACCUGCAAGGCGCCAUAUCCCUCUAUGACGACGCCGUUUUGAACAAUACGCGCCUCAACCAACACCACUUCAAUGCCCUCCUCUACCUCUGCUCCAACUCCGUCGCCGACGACUUGCUCAAAACCACCGCACUCGAUUACGGUUUCCGCGCCUUCCGCCACAUGUCCUCUCUCGGCGUCGUUCCCAAUGAGGCCUCCGUCACUGCCGUUGCGCGCCUCGCUGCGGCCAAGGGUGACGCCGAUUAUGCCUUCGAGUUGGUGAAGGGCAUGGGCAAGUACAACAACGCUACCCCGAGGCUGCGAACCUACGAUCCUGCGUUGUUCUGUUUCUGUGAAAUGCUAGACGCGGAUAAGGCCUACGAGGUGGAGGAGCACAUGAAUGGCGUUGGGGUGAGUUUGGAGGAGGCGGAACUCGCCGCGCUUUUGAAGGUGAGUGCGCGGAGUGGUAGAGCGGACAAGGUGCAUGAGUAUUUGCAUAAGCUUAGAAGCUGUGUGAGGUGUGUUAGUGAGUCCACUGCGGUGGUUGUUGAGGAGUGGUUUUGUGGUGCCAAGGCCUCUGAGGUUGGUGAGGUGGAAUUUGAUGUGGGGCAGGUCAAAGAGGGGGUUUUGCGGAAUGGGGGAGGGUGGCAUGGUCAGGGAUGGAUUGGUAAAGGGGAUUGGGCCGUCAACAGAACGAGUGUUGGUGCCGAUGGACAUUGUUGUUGUUGUGGGGAGCAAUUGGUUUGUGUUGAUAUUGAUGAUUCGGAGACGGAGAAGUUUGCAGGGUCUGUUGCUGGCUUGGCCUUGGAACGAGAGGUCAAGGCCAAUUUUAGUGAAUUUCAGGCCUGGCUUGAAAAGCAUGACUCUUAUGAAGCUAUAGUGGAUGGAGCAAAUGUUGGGCUCUACAAACAAAAUUUUGCUGAUGGUGGAUUUAGCAUUUCUCAGCUUGAUUGUGUUGUAAAAGAACUUUACAAUCAGAGUGGGAAUAAAUGGCCGCUCGUUGUGCUGCACAAUAAGCGCCUAAGAGGGCUAAUGGAAAAUCCUUCCAGCAGGAAACUGGUGGAGGAGUGGAUGAAUAAUGGUGCACUGUAUACAACUCCUAAUGGGUCCAAUGAUGAUUGGUAUUGGCUCUUUGCUGCAGUAAAACUUAGGUGUUUGCUUGUGACAAAUGAUGAAAUGCGAGAUCACAUAUUUGAACUCAUAGGAAGUAACUUUUUUAACCAGUGGAAAGAAAGACAUCAGGUUCACUACACUUUUAUGAAAGGAAACCUAAAGCUUCAGAUGCCUCCAUCAUAUUCAUUGGUUAUCCAGGGUAUGGCUUAACUACAUAUGCUUCGGAUACCCUUUCCAUCUACCAAGGAAUAUAAAGAUGCCUGAGCAGGAGCAGUAAACAAACCUACGGCGCAAAGAUACCUUGGAUGCUCUUUCUAUCUACCCAAUUGGCCAAUGUGUGUGGGAUGUGACACCCUUCCAAACCCAUAGGAAUUUCAAGAUGCCUGAGCACGAUUUUUCUACCCUUUUUUUAUUAUCAAUUGCUUGUUUUUACCUCUUAAUUAGUUUCAUAUUACAAAAAUAGCGUAGAAACCGGUGAAGUUGUGGGGGAAAUUGAAGUUGGAUAUCUGAUGAUUGUUAUUAGUGAAACAUUGUAUAAGAGCAUUGAGAUUAUUCACGUGGCAUCUAAGCUGAGCUUGCAAACAUAAAAAUCCUAACUACUUCAGCAUCCAAAAUGAAUCGGAAAAAGGUUAUUGGCAUGUGCCGCUAGCACCGGGCACUAGCAGUGAGUCUUCGAUAUGUUGGCUCUGCAUUACCCGGCCAAGUGGUCAUGAUGCUG